This 466-nucleotide ribosomal RNA is filed under the name uncultured bacterium. Its description in RNAcentral is "partial 16S ribosomal RNA". It matches the Rfam family "Bacterial small subunit ribosomal RNA", at positions 28 to 507 of the family's 1533-position model. The record is from RNAcentral.
GACGAACGCUGGCGGCGUGCUUAACACAUGCAAGUCGAACGGAAAGGCCCUGCUUGCAGGGUACUCGAGUGGCGAACGGGUGAGUAACACGUGGGUGAUCUGCCCUGCACUUCGGGAUAAGCUUGGGAAACUGGGUCUAAUACCGGAUAGGAGCCAUCUUAAGUGUGGUGGUUGGAAAGUUUUUUCGGUGUAGGAUGAGCUCGCGGCCUAUCAGCUUGUUGGUGGGGUAAUGGCCUACCAAGGCGGCGACGGGUAGCCGGCCUGAGAGGGUGUACGGCCACAUUGGGACUGAGAUACGGCCCAGACUCCUACGGGAGGCAGCAGUGGGGAAUAUUGCACAAUGGGCGCAAGCCUGAUGCAGCGACGCCGCGUGGGGGAUGAAGGCCUUCGGGUUGUAAACUCCUUUCGCUAGGGACGAAGCGUUGUUGUGACGGUACCUAGAGAAGAAGCACCGGCUAACUACGUG